RNAcentral lists this RNase P RNA (418 nucleotides) under Gordonia jinghuaiqii. Its description in RNAcentral is "Gordoniaceae bacterium zg-686 RNase P RNA component class A". It matches the Rfam family "Bacterial RNase P class A". Rfam says of the family: Ribonuclease P (RNase P) is a ubiquitous endoribonuclease, found in archaea, bacteria and eukarya as well as chloroplasts and mitochondria. Its best characterised activity is the generation of mature 5'-ends of tRNAs by cleaving the 5'-leader elements of precursor-tRNAs. Cellular RNase Ps are ribonucleoproteins. Lineage: Bacteria; Bacillati; Actinomycetota; Actinomycetes; Mycobacteriales; Gordoniaceae. The record is from RNAcentral.
CGAGUCGGCCGGGCGGCCGCGGUGGGUGGAACGGGCGGAUCACCGUCACGCCGCACACCGAGGAAAGUCCGGACUCCGCAGAGCAGGGUGGUUGUUAACGGCAACCCGGGGCGACCCGCGGGACAGUGCCACAGAAAACAGACCGCCGGCCGUCAGGCCGGUAAGGGUGAAACGGUGCGGUAAGAGCGCACCAGCGAUGCGGGUGACCGCGUCGGCUCGGUAAACCCCACCCGGAGCAAGGCCGAAGCAUGCACCUGCCGGUGCAUGUGCGCGGGCGUCAUGAGGGCUGCUCGCCCCAGCCCGCGGGUGGGCCGCUCGAGGUACCCGGCGACGGUGUGCCCAGAUGGAUGGUCGCCACCCGCGACGGUCGUCCAGACCGGCGCGGGUACAGGAUCCGGCUUACGUGCCGACUCGUUCG